UCUACAGAGGGAGUUCCAGGACAGCCAGGGCUACGUAGAGACCCUGUUUUCUCUAGGAAGGCCUGUCUUCAGUCCUGAAACUAACAAAAUAAAGAAAUAAAUGAUAAUAAAAAAAUAAGGGAGAGAAUAAAAUACCCAAGUAUAUAUAAAUUUUUAAACGUCAACAAAACGUUACAGAAACUCUACCCAACAGAGUCCACAUGGAAAAGUUACUGCACUGUUUCAAAAAUAUUUACAGCUUCCCCCUGUCCAGGCCACCCAGAGAGAUAGGGUGGCUUGUGGUGCGAGGCAGGGGCCAGGAACGCCUGCUCACUGUCUGCCAGCCCACCUCGGGGAGGUACACCGGAGUCUCUCCGUUAGUUCUGGCUCCAGGAAAGUGGCCGCCCGAGAAUGACUUCCACUCAAGACAUCCUCCUUGGGAAAACACUCUUCCCUGUCUCCGAAGAAAGAAAAAAAAGCAAGCGGCUGUUGUGAGCACUGAGGAUGGGGAGGGGCUGGCAAUAACUCUAGCAGUCAUCCACACCCUUGCCAGUUGGUGGUUACCAAGAUCCCAGACACUUCCUAAUACCAGACAAAUGCCCCAAGCCUCGGCACGUCUGGCUUGAAGAUCUAUUCAACUGAUAGCGCCCGCCUUUUCUAGGGAGAGCCCCACUACCCGGCUAAUCAAACAAAACAUUGUUCUCAGAUGGCAGGAAGAAAGGAAAGGCUUGUUCUCUGGGCCACGAUGUUUGGGGUUUAUUUAAUACACACACACACACACACACACACACACACACACACACACACACACACACACUCCCAAUUAAAAGGUUGUUACAAAACCUGGGCUUCCCGAGACAGAGGUUGUUUUGCACAGCGCGAGCACUGUAUAAAAAUUCCGGGAGGGGGAGGGAAGGGGGGGAAUCAGAAAGUUAAGUGCCAUUAAACAGAGAAAGAAGAAGAAAAAGCCCCAGGCAUUUGAUGCCUGGAACUGAUGUAAGACGCAGCCACUCCUCUGUUAGACGUACAACCGAACAGCGCUCAGAACCGCAGCAGCUGCUCUCCAAAUGUCUGCGCUGGCGCCGGGCAAAGCCUGCAACCCACCGGGCUUCAGGAGGGCUUUUCUCAUCCACAUCUUUCCCCGAGCACUCUUAGGAACCUGGCAACAGAUGCCGAUUCUCAGCCAUUUGGCUGACCCUAUAUAUUUUUUUCCUGGCCGGAUCGAGAGAAAGACGUUCACCAAGGAGGUAUGAAGAGCGCAGCCAAGCAUUCUUGUCCUUCUCACCCAUGGAUGACACGGCGGAUCCUAGACCAGAAACCCUCGUCUUUCCAAGGGAAAAGUGUCCUGUCAUCUGGCCUGGCCUCCGCAGUCCCUCGGUCCUGAUCACCACCGGCCCUGAGGAUGACUAGUCACUUUACCUGCUGUGUCAUUGACAGCUGAGGACACAUCUAAGAAACUGUCCCAGCGUCCCCCAGGGCUCGUUCCCACUACAGUCACCCUGGGGUGUAGCUCAGUCGUAGAGCGCACACCUGGCGAGCAGAGGGCUGUAUUUCAAGCAUGGAGACAAAGGUCAGGAGGCACUGGUGAGUGCUUGUCAUCUGCCAAAUUUCAGUUAAAAUCCUUUUGAAGUUAAGAUUAAAACUGGUAUCAUGUUACUUCAA
Molecule: long non-coding RNA, 1641 nt
Organism: Microtus ochrogaster (prairie vole)
Lineage: Eukaryota; Metazoa; Chordata; Mammalia; Rodentia; Cricetidae
Source: RefSeq, a predicted model, not a curated record